This 497-nucleotide ribosomal RNA is filed under the name uncultured bacterium. RNAcentral describes it as "partial 16S ribosomal RNA". It matches the Rfam family "Bacterial small subunit ribosomal RNA", at positions 28 to 507 of the family's 1533-position model. The record is from RNAcentral.
GAUGAACGCUGGCGGCGUGCCUAAUACAUGCAAGUAGAACGCUGAAGGAAGGAGCUUGCUCUUUCCGGAUGAGUUGCGAACGGGUGAGUAACGCGUAGGUAACCUGCCUGGUAGCGGGGGAUAACUAUUGGAAACGAUAGCUAAUACCGCAUAACAGUAGAUGUUGCAUGAUAUCUACUUAAAAGGUGCAAUUGCACCACUACCAGAUGGACCUGCGUUGUAUUAGCUAGUUGGUGAGGUAACGGCUCACCAAGGCGACGAUACAUAGCCGACCUGAGAGGGUGAUCGGCCACACUGGGACGGAGACACGGCCCAGACUCCUAAGGGAGGCAGCAGGAGGGAAUCUUCGGCAAUGGACGGAAGUCUGGCCGAGCAACGCCGCGGGAGGGAAGAAGGUUUUCGGAUCGUAAAGCUCUGUUGUAAGAGAAGAACGAGUGUGAGAGUGGAAAGUUCACACUGUGACGGUAUCUUACCAGAAAGGGACGGCUAACUACGUG